Molecule: non-coding RNA, 1080 nt
Organism: Benincasa hispida (wax gourd)
Lineage: Eukaryota; Viridiplantae; Streptophyta; Magnoliopsida; Cucurbitales; Cucurbitaceae
Source: RefSeq, a predicted model, not a curated record
CCAAACGGAAGGAAGGAAAGGGCAAACAUGAAAAGAUGGUUAAGCAGACCACUUUCGAGAGAAACGGAAGGCAUUGGGGCACGAGAAGUAAUUGACGUUAAAGUUGAAGUACGCUUGUCUUCAUCUUGUUCGCCCAAAUCCGAGAAGCAAUUGAUUAUAACAAUGGAGUUGGAAGCUGAUUUUCCAGUUUAAAAAGGGAAACAAAAAAGAACAAAAAAGGCACCGAUCGAUUAAAUUAGUACAUCUUCAUUUGGGAACUACCAUCCAAUUCACUUCUUCUACUUACAUCUGGAUUUCGAUGUGACACUGUACUUUAAACCUUUCUCCCACGCUCUUAUCCACUCCAUUCGCAACCAAAAAGAAGGCUGCACUGUUUUCAACCAUAAGGAAUUGUCUGGAUCAGAGGUGACGUUUCAGGUGGUGGCUGAACAGUGAUCCCUCUCUCUCUCUCUCUCUCAUUUUUUUCCCUUUCCUUUUUACAUUGACAAUUGCUGUUGCAUGAUCACAUCACAUUGCUCUCACCCUUUAUUCAUUUCUCAACUAUAAUGUUCUGUUGCCGCCGUAGUACGAUUAAACUCUCUUUACUUUACUGUCAUCCAAAAAGUCAUUUGCUGUCAAAUUUUCUUUCCCUUUGUCUGAUUUUGCAUCCUCCAGAAUCAAAUUUGGCUCCAAAUACCAUGAACGACUUGGGGAUUUGGAUAGGGAAAUCCUAUCACAAUCUCCUUAUUCAUCCCCUCUCUACAACAUCUCAAAAUGAAGGUUUCUUACUUGUUGCUGCUAUGUGGAGGAUGAAACAGUAGCCGGUUUUCUGUCACAAGAUUGAAAUUUGAUCAGAUCCUAAAGCAAAAUAGAUCUGUUUUAAUGGAUAAGGAUCAAGGAUCCAACAUGAUGAUAAUAUCUGUUGACAUACACACAGCCCAAUGGAUUAUUUAUUGCCGAGAAAUGAAAUAUAUGUUCUAACCAAAACUAGCAUACUUCAACUGAUGAAUAGAUGUAUUAGGUACUAAGAGGUUUGUGGUUUGAAUCUCCUACUCUAUUGUACUGAACAAUUAAAAUAUACGUUCUCAAAAUUUGCUUUUG